UACGUAGGGCGCAAGCGUUGUCCGGAAUUAUUGGGCGUAAAGAGCUCGUAGGCGGCUUGUCACGUCGGGUGUGAAAGCCCGGGACUUAACCCCGGGUCUGCAUUCGAUACGGGCUAGCUAGAGUGUGGUAGGGGAGAUCGGAAUUCCUGGUGUAGCGGUGAAAUGCGCAGAUAUCAGGAGGAACACCGGUGGCGAAGGCGGCAUCCUGGACCGAUACUGACGCUGAGGAGCGAAAGCCAGGGGAGCAAACGGG
This 253-nucleotide ribosomal RNA is filed under the name uncultured bacterium. RNAcentral's name for it is "partial 16S ribosomal RNA". It matches the Rfam family "Bacterial small subunit ribosomal RNA", at positions 524 to 776 of the family's 1533-position model. The record is from RNAcentral.